CACUUCACAGGCUGGCAAUGGUUUUGCUUUGAAUACUUAUUUUUAUGGUGCACUGAAUAUUCAGGAAUAUGUUGUGACUUGUGACUAGUGGUAAAGAAAGCGUUCAUCUUUUGUGAUUGACUUCCUCGUGUCCAGGUUUUUCCAUCUGUGAAAGGAUACAUUUUCCUGCUUACAAGGAGCUUUGAGAUCUACACAGAGUCUCUCUGUAGGAAUGACACGUGAGAAUAUCCUCAUCACAACUCGAGUAAUUUAGUAAAUGCACAAUUCAGAACUUGUUUUACGUAUGAAUAAAACUUGUUGUUUAGCUGUUGGGUUUUUAAUUUUUGUGCUCCCUGCACACUUCUUUGGUAGAUCCAAAGCUCCUGGAGUUACCCAGCCUAUGUGGCAUCUAAGCCCUUGUAACAGCUGUUUUAAGAAACGGUCUGAUUCAGCCAGUAAGCAGCUCGGAGCUGAUAAGUGCAGCGGGGUUGGGCUUUUGAGGUCUGUUGCCUCAGAGGGUAACGACCACAGCUUCUUUGCUGGGGUGCUGGUGACCUGGGGGUUUUCCAGGUUUGUUUUCUGUUGGUUUUGCCCUUUUCCAGAUACAAAAGGGAAAAAAAUGAAGAUGCGUAAGGCAGUACUUAUGUUCAUUCUGUUCAUUACAGAACGUCUGCCAACUAUAGUGGCAGGAGUCAGCAUUUCCCUUGUGUUGAUUUUUAUUCUUGUAAUUACUGGUGUUUGGUGUGCACGAAGAAGAUCAAACGGAAGUUCAGCUGCAAUUAAUUGUAUUCCCUCUGGUGAACCUGGAGUGUCCUUAAAAAAAGUGUCAACACACGAGAACCAACACGAGUGGCCUUUUGAAAGAGCACUAUAAUGACAACUGGAGAGCUGUUGUGUGACCCUCUGGUCUGUGCACCUUUAUGGCAGAACCGCACACACCAUGGGACUUCGAGUCAGUAAUUUUCCCUUUUUUCAGUGAAUUUGGAAUAGCAGCUAACAAAAAAAAAAGAAUCCUGUUACCAAAAGAAUUUCAGUCAAAGGUCUUAAGUAAAAGAUUAAAACCAGGGAGGUUCUUCAAUGCCACCUAAGUGGAACAUGUUGCCUGUAGCGUAACAAAAGAAAGGCUUUUCUUAUGUCCUUUUCAGGAGGAAAAAAGAAAGGAAAAUCCUCUCAGUUGUAGCUAUUUGAACAGCACUCUUAAAGAGCUGUAUCUUCUAAAAAGUUAAAUUCUUGAAAUUAAAGAGAUCCUGGUUACAUAAAAUGGCAUGCUUAGGCUAUGUCUGUUUUAAUAAAUUAAACCUGCCCUGGAAUGUUGCUACUGUU
This 1302-nucleotide long non-coding RNA is filed under the name Calidris pugnax (ruff). RNAcentral's name for it is "lncRNA (ENSCPUG00000012244.1)". The record is from RNAcentral. Lineage: Eukaryota; Metazoa; Chordata; Aves; Charadriiformes; Scolopacidae.